UGUCGUGGACCUGACAUUUGUCCAGUGC
RNAcentral lists this small RNA (28 nucleotides) under Bombyx mori (domestic silkworm). RNAcentral's name for it is "ovarian small RNA-35746". The record is from RNAcentral. Lineage: Eukaryota; Metazoa; Arthropoda; Insecta; Lepidoptera; Bombycidae.